This 472-nucleotide ribosomal RNA is filed under the name uncultured actinomycete. Its description in RNAcentral is "bacterial SSU rRNA". It matches the Rfam family "Bacterial small subunit ribosomal RNA", at positions 514 to 982 of the family's 1533-position model. The record is from RNAcentral. Lineage: Bacteria; Bacillati; Actinomycetota; Actinomycetes; Actinomycetales.
GCCGCGGUAAGACGUAGGGCGCGAGCGUUGUCCGGAUUUAUUGGGCGUAAAGAGCUCGUAGGCGGCUUGUUGCGUCGACUGUGAAAACCCGCGGCUCAACCGCGUGGCUUGCAGUCGAUACGGGCAGGCUAGAAUUCGGUAGGGGAGACUGGAAUUCCUGGUGUAGCGGUGAAAUGCGCAGAUAUCAGGAGGAACACCGGUGGCGAAGGCGGGUCUCUGGGCCGAUACUGACGCUGAGGAGCGAAAGCGUGGGGAGCGAACAGGAUUAGAUACCCUGGUAGUCCACGCUGUAAACGUUGGGCGCUAGGUGUGGGGGACCUCUCCGGUUCUCUGUGCCGCAGCUAACGCAUUAAGCGCCCCGCCUGGGGAGUACGGCCGCAAGGCUAAAACUCAAAGGAAUUGACGGGGGCCCGCACAAGCGGCGGAGCAUGCGGAUUAAUUCGAUGCAACGCGUAGAACCUUACCUGGGUUU